Molecule: ribosomal RNA, 433 nt
Filed under: uncultured bacterium
Lineage: Bacteria
Description: partial 16S ribosomal RNA
Rfam family: Bacterial small subunit ribosomal RNA
Source: RNAcentral
AGCGAACGCUGGCGGCAGGCCUAACACAUGCAAGUCGAACGAACUCUUCGGAGUUAGUGGCGGACGGGUGAGUAACCCGUGGGAACGUGCCUUUUGGUUCGGAAUAACUCAGGGACACUUGUGCUAAUACCGAAUGUGCCCUUCGGGGGAAAGAUUUAUGGCCCUUAGAGCGGCCCGCGUCUGAUUAGCUAGUUGUGGAGGUAACGGCUCACCAAGGCGCCGAUCAGUAGCUGGUCUGAGAGGAAGACCAGCAACACUGGGACUGAGACACGGCCCAGACUCCUACGGGAGGGAGCAGUGGGGAAUCUUGCACAAUGGGGGAAAGGCUGACGCAGCCAUGCCGCGAGAAUGAUGAAGGUAUGAGGAUUGUAAAAUUCUUUCACCGGGGACGAUAAUGACGGUACCCGGAGAAGAAGCCCCGGCUAACUUCGUG